Pelobates cultripes (western spadefoot toad) is the source of this 639-nucleotide non-coding RNA. The record is from the annotation of a GenBank genome assembly. Lineage: Eukaryota; Metazoa; Chordata; Amphibia; Anura; Pelobatidae.
CUGAUCUAUACUUCUACUUCUUCAUAUAAUGCAAAUAAGCUAGUUUGACAUGAUCUAUGUUUCAUAAAACCAUGCUGAUUUUACUGAUAACUACAUUCUUCUCAAGGAAUUCCUGAAUAUUAUCCCUUAAGAACCUUUCAAAUAAAUACUUUCCCACAGGUCUAUAAUUUGCAGGCAUUCUACUUCAGGACUGUGUACCUUGAUAAUUCUUGGCAUUGGACCUAUCACAUAACUUCAAUUAGGUAUAGUCAACCUUUGGCACUCCAGAUAUUAUGGACUAUAUAUCCACUCAUUCUUUGCCAGCAUUGUGGCUGUUAAGAGCAUUAAGUGAGAUGUAGUCCACAACAUCUGGAGUGCCAAAGUUUGCCUAUCCCUGACUUAGAUAAUCUAUUAGAUGACUGUAUCUUCUUUUCCAAUUUAUAGGUUCUACUUUCCCAAUAGGAACUUGCCUUAUUUCUUUGGUCCCUUCACAGUGUCUGCUCCAGUCUUAUGGUAGAGUCUGCCUUCUGUGUUCCAUUGUAUCUUCCCUAUUAAGAGUGUACCCUGGAGGAAAGAGCACACGGUUUGCUUUAAAACCGGUGUAUUCAAUGCCCUUUUUGAAAGCGCUGACCCAGCCUUUACUCAUAGAAAAUUUAGAUU